This 745-nucleotide ribosomal RNA is filed under the name uncultured bacterium. RNAcentral's name for it is "bacterial SSU rRNA". It matches the Rfam family "Bacterial small subunit ribosomal RNA", at positions 124 to 869 of the family's 1533-position model. The record is from RNAcentral.
AUUUUCCUGUGUGAAUAACCUCUCGAAAGAGAGGCUAAUACCGCAUACGACCUACGGGUGAAAGAGGGGGAUCGCAAGACCUCUCACUAUUGGAGCGGCCGAUGUCGGAUUAGCUAGUUGGCGGGGUAACGGCCCACCAAGGCGACGAUCCGUAGCUGGUCUGAGAGGACGGCCAGCCACACUGGAACUGAGACACGGUCCAGACUCCUACGGGAGGCAGCAGUGGGGAAUUUUGGACAAUGGGCGCAAGCCUGAUCCAGCCAUGCCGCGUGAGUGAAGAAGGCCUUCGGGUUGUAAAGCUCUUUCGGCGGGGACGAAACGGUCCGUGUUAACACCGCGGACUUCUGACGGUACCCGCAGAAGAAGCACCGGCUAACUACGUGCCAGCAGCCGCGGUAAUACGUAGGGUGCAGGCGUUAAUCGGAAUUACUGGGCGUAAAGCGUGCGCAGGCGGUCUCUUAAGACAGGUGUGAAAUCCCCGGGCUUAACCUGGGAACUGCGCUUGUAACUGAGAGGCUUGAGUGUGCCAGAGGGGGGUGGAAUUCCACGUGUAGCAGUGAAAUGCGUAGAGAUGUGGAGGAACACCGAUGGCGAAGGCAGCCCCCUGGGGUAACACUGACGCUCAUGCACGAAAGCGUGGGGAGCAAACAGGAUUAGAUACCCUGGUAGUCCACGCCCUAAACUAUGUCAACUGGGUUGUCGGGGAAGCAAUUCCUUGGUAACGAAGCUAACGCGUGAAGUUGAC